GAUACCAGGGUUCCAAAGUCAAACGCUGUUCGUGCUCGCACGAUAAAGCGUUUGACCUUGGAACCCGCCAAACAUGAGAAAGCAGCGAUUUACGCAGUAAAUCAGCGGAUUUCGAAUGUUUGCAGAAUUGCGGGAGCUGCUUUGCAGCGAAGCAAUUCGCAGGUAUC
Molecule: small RNA, 167 nt
Filed under: human gut metagenome
Also listed under: 1 other name
Description: Clostridiales-1 RNA
Rfam family: Clostridiales-1 RNA
Source: RNAcentral